UACGGAGGAUGCGAGCGUUAUCCGGAUUUAUUGGGUUUAAAGGGUGCGUAGGCGGAUCGUUAAGUCAGUGGUCAAAUUGAGGGGCUCAACCCCUUCCCGCCAUUGAAACUGGCGAUCUUGAGUGGAGGAGAAGUAUGCGGAAUGCGUGGUGUAGCGGUGAAAUGCAUAGAUAUCACGCAGAACCCCGAUUGCGAAGGCAGCAUGCCGGCUUCCUACUGACGCUGAAGCACGAAAGCGUGGGGAUCGAACAGG
This 252-nucleotide ribosomal RNA is filed under the name uncultured bacterium. Its description in RNAcentral is "partial 16S ribosomal RNA". It matches the Rfam family "Bacterial small subunit ribosomal RNA", at positions 524 to 776 of the family's 1533-position model. The record is from RNAcentral.